UCCCCGCUUUUCCUCCCUGAGCGGGUGCCUUGAUGUGUGACAGCAAAAGGGCUUCCCAGCCCGGCGCCCUGGGCGCCGGGCUUUUUUUU
Molecule: non-coding RNA, 89 nt
Filed under: Pseudacidovorax intermedius
Lineage: Bacteria; Pseudomonadati; Pseudomonadota; Betaproteobacteria; Burkholderiales; Comamonadaceae
Description: Burkholderia RNA 7 (anti-hemB)
Rfam family: Burkholderia RNA 7 (anti-hemB)
About the family: This RNA motif was identified by computational search in b-proteobacteria Burkholderia. Co-purified with Hfq, expression confirmed by Northern blot. Putative functional homologue of SP-RydB and predicted target hemB.
Source: Rfam by way of RNAcentral